UACGGAGGAUCCGAGCGUUAUCCGGAUUUAUUGGGUUUAAAGGGUGCGCAGGCGGGAGAUUAAGUCGGCGGUGAAAUUUUGCAGCUCAACUGUAAAAGUGCCUUCGAAACUGGUUUCCUUGAGCGUAGAUGAAGUAGGCGGAAUUUGUGGUGUAGCGGUGAAAUGCUUAGAGAUCACGAGGAACUCCGAUUGCGCAGGCAGCUUACUAAACUACUACUGACGCUCAGGCACGAAGGCGUGGGGAUCAAACAGGAUUAGAUACCCGUGUAGUCCCU
Molecule: ribosomal RNA, 275 nt
Filed under: uncultured prokaryote
Description: partial 16S ribosomal RNA
Rfam family: Bacterial small subunit ribosomal RNA
Source: RNAcentral